UGCCGGCGACCGGCGCACGGGUGAGUAACGCGUAUCCAACCUUUCGCUUACUCGGGGAUAGCCUUUCGAAAGAAAGAUUACUACCCGAUGGUAUCUUAAGCACGCAUGAGAUUAAGAUUAAAGAUUUAUCGGUAAGCGAUGGGGAUGCGUUCCAUUAGGCAGUUGGCGGGGUAACGGCCCACCAAACCUACGAUGGAUAGGGGUUCUGAGAGGAAGGUCCCCCACAUUGGAACUGAGACACGGUCCAAACUCCUACGGGAGGCAGCAGUGAGGAAUAUUGGUCAAUGGGCGAGAGCCUGAACCAGCCAAGUAGCGUGAAGGAUGACGGCCCUACGGGUUGUAAACUUCUUUUGUGCGGGAAUAAAGGAGCCUACGUGUAGGCUUUUGCAUGUACCGUAACGAAUAAGCAUCGGCUAACUCCGUGCCAGCAGCCGCGGUAAUACGGAGGAUGCGAGCGUUAUCCGGAUUUAUUGGGUUUAAAGGGAGCGUAGACGGGUUUUUAAGUCAGCUGUGAAAGUUUGGGGCUCAACCUUAAAAUUGCAGUUGAAACUGGAGACCUUGAGUACGGUUGAGGCAGGCGGAAUUCGUGGUGUAGCGGUGAAAUGCUUAGAUAUCACGAAGAACUCCGAUUG
RNAcentral lists this ribosomal RNA (632 nucleotides) under uncultured Bacteroides sp. RNAcentral's name for it is "bacterial SSU rRNA". It matches the Rfam family "Bacterial small subunit ribosomal RNA", at positions 86 to 715 of the family's 1533-position model. Lineage: Bacteria; Pseudomonadati; Bacteroidota; Bacteroidia; Bacteroidales; Bacteroidaceae. The record is from RNAcentral.